UCGGUCGGUGACGAAGCUCCC
RNAcentral lists this microRNA (21 nucleotides) under Apis mellifera (honey bee). Its description in RNAcentral is "ame-miR-9884-3p". Lineage: Eukaryota; Metazoa; Arthropoda; Insecta; Hymenoptera; Apidae. The record is from miRBase by way of RNAcentral.